This 465-nucleotide ribosomal RNA is filed under the name uncultured bacterium. RNAcentral describes it as "partial 16S ribosomal RNA". It matches the Rfam family "Bacterial small subunit ribosomal RNA", at positions 338 to 795 of the family's 1533-position model. The record is from RNAcentral.
CCUACGGGAGGCAGCAGUAGGGAAUCUUCCACAAUGGGCGAAAGCCUGAUGGAGCAACGCCGCGUGGGUGAAGAAGGUCUUCGGAUUGUAAAACCCUGUCGUCAGAGAAGAAAGUGCGGGAGAGUAACUGUUCACGUUUCGACGGUAUCUACCCAGAAAGCCACGGCUAACUACGUGCCAGCAGCCGCGGUAAUACGGAGGUGGCAAGCGUUAUCCGGAUUUACUGGGCGUAAAGGGAACGCAGGCGGUCUUUUAAGUCUGAUGUGAAAGCCUUGGGCUUAACCGGAGUAGUGCAUUGGAAACUGGGAGGCUUGAGUGCAGAAGAGGAGAGUGGAACUCCAUGUGUAGCGGUGAAAUGCGUAGAUAUUUGGAAGAACACCAGUGGCGAAGGCGGCUCUCUGGUCUGUAACUGACGCUGAGGUUCGAAAGCGUGGGUAGCAAACAGGAUUAGAUACCCUUGUAGUC